RNAcentral lists this transfer RNA (75 nucleotides) under Thiohalospira halophila DSM 15071. RNAcentral's name for it is "tRNA_Thr_GGT". It matches the Rfam family "tRNA". From Rfam's summary of the family: Transfer RNA (tRNA) molecules are approximately 80 nucleotides in length. Their secondary structure includes four short double-helical elements and three loops (D, anti-codon, and T loops). Lineage: Bacteria; Pseudomonadati; Pseudomonadota; Gammaproteobacteria; Thiohalospirales; Thiohalospiraceae. The record is from RNAcentral. RNAcentral also lists the same sequence under 2 other names.
GCCCAUAUAGCUCAGUGGUAGAGCACUCCCUUGGUAAGGGAGAGGUCAGCAGUUCAAAUCUGCUUAUGGGCUCCA